CUCCAGCUCCACAGGGAACAGGUCGAGCCUCUCCACCCUCUUCUCCAGCUCAUACUCUGCUGAUGCGGCCAUGGGGUCAACGUCUUCAUUGCGGCGGUCGUAGUCCUCAUUGGAGUAAGUGCUGAAGACCUGGAUGGGCGCCGUGCUGAACUGGAUCUUGCGGUUGGGGACGGGCUCCUCUUCCUCGGACAGCCCCGGGAUCUCCAUGCAGCUGGAUUCGGGCUCGUAGAGCCCAUCCGCCUCCUCAUCUUCAUCCAACCCGCUGCCCCCCGAGUCCUCCCCGAGCCCGCUGUAGGCACUUAUGUCCACCAGGUCCGCCUCGGAGAAGUCCUCCUUCUUGGACUCGUCGUACAGCUCGCUCUCCUCCGCCCGCUCACCCUUUCCGCCCUCCUUGGCGUCGGGGGGCUCCUCGCCCCCAUCCAGGCACGGUUCGGGGACCGCCACCCCCUCGGCCCCUUUGGCCACCUCGGCCGCGGCCGUGGGCUCCUUCACCUCCGCCUCCGCCUCCGACUCCCCGCUCUCCUCCACCUCCACGGGUUUGAUCUUGCACACCUCCUGCACCCUGGGCACGCUCCCAUCCUUCUCCGCCGACCUCGGCGCUCUGCCCGCCGCCUUCUCCUCCUCCGCAGGACGCGGCCGCGCGGGCGCAGCGCUGCCUUCCGCGCAGCCCUCGGCUCUGCCACCCUCUCCUCCCUGCAGGAAGACGCGGGACCUUUUGCUCACCAGCUUGGAGUUGAGCGGCCCGGCGCGCCCCGGCGUCUUGUGCAGGUUGUUCCUCAGGUCAGCCUUCUCGAACACGGCGCUCAGCUGGCUGACGGUGGGCGACACGGCCUCGGCGUCCAGCUUGUCCAAGGACUCGGUGCUGCCGUUGAACUUCACCACCACGUCCAGCUUGCGGUCCUGGAAGCCGGCGCGCUCCUUGCGCAGCAGCAGCUUGGCGGUGGCCUCCUUCUCCUGCGGGCUCCUCUCGAAGAUCUUCCGCGUCUCC
Molecule: long non-coding RNA, 988 nt
Filed under: Gallus gallus (chicken)
Lineage: Eukaryota; Metazoa; Chordata; Aves; Galliformes; Phasianidae
Source: RNAcentral